GGAGGAAAAGAACUAACAAGGAUUCCCCUAGUAACUGCGAGUGAAGCGGGAAAAGCUCAAAUUUAAAAUCUGGCGGUCUCUGGUCGUCCGAGUUGUAAUCUAGAGAAGUGAUGCCCGCGCUGGACCGUGUACAAGUCUCCUGGAAUGGAGCGUCAUAGAGGGUGAGAAUCCCGUCUCUGACACGGACUACCAGGGCUUUGUGGUACGCUCUCAAAGAGUCGAGUUGUUUGGGAAUGCAGCUCAAAAUGGGUGGUAAAUUCCAUCUAAAGCUAAAUAUUGGCGAGAGACCGAUAGCGAACAAGUACCGUGAGGGAAAGAUGAAAAGAACUUUGGAAAGAGAGUUAAACAGUACGUGAAAUUGCUGAAAGGGAAACGCUUGAAGUCAGUCGCGUUGGCCGGGAAUCAGCCUCGCUCUUUUGCGUGGUGUACUUUCUGGUUGACGGGUCAGCAUCAAUUUUGACCGCUGGAAAAAGGCUUGAGGAAUGUGGCAGCUCCGGCUGUGUUAUAGCUUCAUGUCACAUACAGCGGUUGGGAUUGAGGAACUCAGCACGCCGCAAGGCCGGGUUUCGACCACGUUCGUGCUUAGGAUGCUGGCAUAAUGGCUUUA
RNAcentral lists this ribosomal RNA (607 nucleotides) under Myrmicocrypta sp. 1 symbiont S26. Its description in RNAcentral is "eukaryotic LSU rRNA". It matches the Rfam family "Eukaryotic large subunit ribosomal RNA", at positions 52 to 642 of the family's 3401-position model. The record is from RNAcentral. RNAcentral also lists the same sequence under 1 other name. Lineage: Eukaryota; Fungi; Basidiomycota; Agaricomycetes; Agaricales; Agaricaceae.